RNAcentral lists this ribosomal RNA (500 nucleotides) under uncultured Desulfobulbus sp. Its description in RNAcentral is "bacterial SSU rRNA". It matches the Rfam family "Bacterial small subunit ribosomal RNA", at positions 904 to 1382 of the family's 1533-position model. The record is from RNAcentral. Lineage: Bacteria; Pseudomonadati; Thermodesulfobacteriota; Desulfobulbia; Desulfobulbales; Desulfobulbaceae.
GCACGCCGCUCAGAACUACAAAGAAGUGACGGGGCCCGCACAAGCGGUGGAGUAUGUGGUUAAUUCGAUGCAACGCGAAGAACCUUACCUGGUCUUGACAUCCCGGAGACCCUUAGGAAACUAGGGGUGCUUCCAUCUGGAAGAAUCUGGAGACAGGUGCUGCAUGGCUGUCGUCAGCUCGUGUCGUGAGAUGUUGGGUUAAGUCCCGCAACGAGCGCAACCCUUGCCUUUAGUUGCCAGCAGUUCGGCUGGGCACUCUAAAGGGACUACCGGUGUUAAACCGGAGGAAGGUGGGGAUGACGUCAAGUCCUCAUGGCCUUUAUGACCAGGGCUACACACGUACUACAAUGGCCGAUACAAAGGGCAGCGACACUGCGAGGUGAAGCCAAUCCCGUAAAAUCGGUCUCAGUCCGGAUUGGAGUCUGCAACUCGACUCCAUGAAGUUGGAAUCGCUAGUAAUCGUGGAUCAGCAUGCCACGGUGAAUACGUUCCCGGGCCUU